Non-coding RNA from Aspergillus alliaceus, 102 nucleotides. The record is from the annotation of a RefSeq genome assembly. NCBI's taxonomy places the organism in Eukaryota, Fungi, Ascomycota, Eurotiomycetes, Eurotiales, Aspergillaceae.
AGCAAGGUAGCCGAGUGGUCUAAGGCGCACGGCUCGGGUAUAUGAACUUUUCUUAAAGUUUCCGUGUCAUGAGAAUGGCGUGGUCGAAUCUCAGCCUUGUCA